Molecule: ribosomal RNA, 443 nt
Filed under: uncultured Rhodobacter sp.
Lineage: Bacteria; Pseudomonadati; Pseudomonadota; Alphaproteobacteria; Rhodobacterales
Description: bacterial SSU rRNA
Rfam family: Bacterial small subunit ribosomal RNA
Source: RNAcentral
GUCCUACGGGGGGCUGCAGUGGGGAAUCUUAGACAAUGGGCGCAAGCCUGAUCUAGCCAUGCCGCGUGAGCGAUGAAGGCCUUAGGGUUGUAAAGCUCUUUCGUGGGGGAAGAUAAUGACUGUACCCCAAGAAGAAGCCCCGGCUAACUCCGUGCCAGCAGCCGCGGUAAUACGGAGGGGGCUAGCGUUGUUCGGAAUUACUGGGCGUAAAGCGCACGUAGGCGGAACAGAAAGUCAGAGGUGAAAUCCCAGGGCGCAACCUUGGAACUGCCUUUGAAACUCCUGUUCUUGAGGUCGAGAGAGGUGAGUGGAAUUCCGAGUGUAGAGGUGAAAUUCGUAGAUAUUCGGAGGAACACCAGUGGCGAAGGCGGCUCACUGGCUCGAUACUGACGCUGAGGUGCGAAAGCGUGGGGAGCAAACAGGAUUAGAUACCCGGGUAGUCC